RNAcentral lists this ribosomal RNA (253 nucleotides) under uncultured bacterium. RNAcentral describes it as "partial 16S ribosomal RNA". It matches the Rfam family "Bacterial small subunit ribosomal RNA", at positions 524 to 776 of the family's 1533-position model. The record is from RNAcentral.
UACGUAGGUGGCAAGCGUUGUUCGGAAUCACUGGGCGUAAAGGGCGCGUAGGCGGCCGCUCAAGUCGGGGGUGAAAGCCUGUGGCUUAACCACAGAAUUGCCUUCGAUACUGUUUGGCUUGAGACCGGAAGAGGUGAGUGGAACUGCGAGUGUAGAGGUGAAAUUCGUAGAUAUUCGCAAGAACACCAGUGGCGAAGGCGGCUCACUGGUCCGGUUCUGACGCUGAGGCGCGAAAGCGUGGGGAGCAAACAGG